UACGUAGGGGGCAAGCGUUAUCCGGAAUUACUGGGUGUAAAGGGAGCGUAGACGGUAAUGUAAGUCUGGAGUGAAAGGCGGGGGCCCAACCCCCGGACUGCUCUGGAAACUAUGUUACUAGAGUGCAGGAGUGGUAAGCGGAAUUCCUAGUGUAGCGGUGAAAUGCGUAGAUAUUAGGAGGAACACCAGUGGCGAAGGCGGCUUACUGGACUGUAACUGACGUUGAGGCUCGAAAGCGUGGGGAGCAAACAGG
Molecule: ribosomal RNA, 253 nt
Filed under: uncultured bacterium
Lineage: Bacteria
Description: partial 16S ribosomal RNA
Rfam family: Bacterial small subunit ribosomal RNA
Source: RNAcentral